Mus musculus (house mouse) is the source of this 3898-nucleotide RNA transcript. It is a transcript of the gene named PHD finger protein 8 like, with no coding region annotated. The transcript has a single exon. Lineage: Eukaryota; Metazoa; Chordata; Mammalia; Rodentia; Muridae. The record is from RefSeq and is marked validated.
AACAGAGUGGUUACAGAAGCUUCUUGAGAGGUUUCAGGUAUCUGUAGGAAACACAAGAAAGUCACCACCUGACUUCAGGGUCAAAGUAAGUGGCCUGUGAAGGGCUCAAAGGUAGAGCAGGACAUAGAACUACUAUCCAUCAUCAACAAGGGAGGGUGUUGUUCUCACCCUCUUUUAACACCACAAACCUUGGUCUGCUCUAAAACCUGUGAGGAUGGCCUUGGUGCCUGUGUAUUGUCUUUGUCGACAGCCUUAUAAUGUGAACCACUUCAUGAUUGAGUGCGGCCUGUGCCAGGACUGGUUUCAUGGUAGCUGUGUUGGGAUUGAAGAAGAAAACGCUGUUGACAUUGACAUCUACCACUGCCCAGACUGUGAGGCUGUAUUUGGGCCUUCCAUUAUGAAAAACUGGCAUGGAUCGCCUAGAGGGCAUGAUGCUCUCAAGAGGAAGCCAUUGAUGACUGGGAGCCCUACCUCUAUUCACCAAAUCCAGGGUAGGAUUUUUGAAAGCUCUGACAAAGUGAUUUUGAAGCCCACAGGAAGUCAUUUAACAGUAGAAUUUCUGCUAGAAAGUAGCUUCAGCAUACCUAUCCUUGUCUUGAAGAAGGAUGGGUUGGGGAUGACACUUCCACCGACAUCAUUCACUGUCAGAGAUGUUGAGCAAUAUGUUGGUUCUGACAGAGAGGUUGAUGUGAUUGAUGUAGCCUGUCAGGCUAGCAGCAAGAUGAUGUUGGGAGAUUUUGUGAAAUAUUAUUACAGCAGGAAGAGGGAAAAGACCUUUAAUGUUAUUAAUUUGGAAUUCUCUAAUACUGGGCUUUCUAAUAUAGUAGAGAUGCCCAAGAUAGUUCGUAAGCUUUCCUGGGUUGAAAACUUAUGGCCAGAAGAUUGCGGCUUUGAGAGACCCAAUGUACAGAAGUAUUGCCUUAUGAGUAUGCAGAAUAGCUAUACAGAUUUUCACAUUGAAUUUGGUGGCACUUCAGCCUGGUACCAUGUAGUUAAGGGUGAGAAGAUCUUCUAUCUGAUCCGCCCAACAGAUGCUAACCUGACUCUUUUUGAGUGUUGGAGCAACUCUUCUAACCAAAAGGAAAUAUUCUUUGGUGACCAGGUAGACAGAUGUUACAAGUGUUCUGUGAAGCAAGGACAGACACUUUUCAUUCCUACAGGAUGGAUCUAUGCUGUGCUGACCCCAGUGGAUUGCCUAGCAUUUGGGGGAAACUUCUUACACAGUUUAAACAUUGAAAUGCAGCUCAAAGUCUAUGAGAUUGAGAAGCAUCUGUGUACAACAGACCUCUUCAAGUUUCCAAGCUUUGAGACCAUCUGUUGGCAUGUGGGGAAACACAUCCUGGACAUCUUUAAAGGUUUACGGGAGAAUGGGAGAUGUCCUGCAUCCUUCUUGGUCCAUGGUGGUAAAGCUCUAAACUUGGCCUUUCAAGCCUGGACAAGGAAAGAAGUUCUGCCUAACCGUGAUAAUGAGAUCCCAAAGACAGUGCAGACCAUACAGCUCAUUGAAGAUCUGGCUUGGGAAAUUCAUCUGGUUGAAGAUAAUUUCCAACAGAACAUCCCAAAGACAAGUUCUACCUUUAAGUUCCAGCAGCUCCAUACCAAUUCCUCUUCCUUAACUAGGCAAGCUCAUCCCACUUCAGUAUCCAAGUCUAAAUUAUCACUGCCCUCCAAAAAUGGUUCAGAAAAGAAAAGCCCAAAGUAUAAAGACACCUUUAAGAAGGAAGAACAAAUGAGCAAGGAGAGUUCAGCUCUGGGGCCUAAUUAUCAACAUAGCUGUAAUUUCAUGGAUCUAAAUAAUGAUCAACAAUGGAAGGUAGGCUGUCUCCAAAACGUAGAGUUUAACAUCACUAGUACUUGUUUGAAUGAUUCAGAUGAUAACUCAAAACAUGACAAAGCCUUCAAUGGGAAUGAGAGCCUGGUGCCUCUGUUGAUGGCUAAUGGCAAUACGAAGAGGGAAAAGAGCUUGUCCGAAUCUUGGCAAGCCAAAAUCACAAAGAAGGAAGAUACAUCAAGGUUGAUGAAAGAACAAGCGAUGGUAGACACAUUUGACUUGGAUUUAAAUGAUGAGCUACAGAUUGAAAAGGGAUUAGGUAAAGAGAAAGUGAGUCUGGUAGUAAGACCAAAAAUUCCUCCAAGUUUGCCCCAUGUGAAGCUUUGCUCUGACCAAAACCAAAGUCAUGAUCCAGGGGAAACUGAGAUCACCAUUGUAGAGAACUAUAAAAUAGAUAAGGAAAUGGUGGAAGAGGUUGAAGGCAAGUUUAAGAAUGGAAGUGAAUCUGGUGGAACUAUUGAUCCACUAAAGGCCAAGAAACAGGUGGGUGGACCUGGCUGUGUUAUCCUCACUGAUGACCCAAACUCUUCCAGCAAUAAGAAGGACAUUCAGGACACUGUGUGCAUGUCUGAUUUGCAGUCUUCUCCUCCUUCACAAGCUCCCUCCAGCCUUCAGGCAUUUUGGAGUGGGGGACAAGACCAAGGCAACAAAAGCCCUAGCAGUGUCUUGGGCACAGUGUCUGACAGUCCUGUUUCUCGGCGUACCCCAAGGAAAUGGCCCAUCAAGCGGCUAGCAUACUGGAGAAAUGAAAGUGAGGCGGGAAAUGCUUGUGUAGAUGAACAGGGCAGCUUAGGAGCAUGCUUCAAGGAAGCUAAGUAUAUCUUCUUAUCCCUGGAAUCUGAUGACGACGACGAUGAUGAUGAUGAUGACGACGAUGACAACAACCCUGCUUUGAGAGUUCUACCAAAGAAAAGGAAGAUAUCAGAUAAUGCCCCAAGGAUUCCUAGGGCAGAUGAGAUCCCAACACUACCAAAGCAGGACCAUUCUGUGCCUGAGGGUAACAGAGUUGGCUCCAUUGAGAUAGACUGGACUACAGCAGCUACAAAGCUGGCACAGGAGGUGAACAACAUGAAGCUCACUCUCACUAGUCCAGGAAAAAGCAGCCAAUAAACAGAGAAGCUAAGACUUAAAUCCAUGUCCUCCAACUUCAACUUUUUUCUGUUGCUUGAUACUUAAGUGAAUAUAUAGUUUAGUAAAAAUAUCCUAUUUAAAUGAAAUUUAUAGGGUUAUGUUUUUAAUGGGAAGUUCUAUAGAGUUGUAGAGUUUCUUAGAAAUGCCUUCUAGGGUGUUAUUGAGACCCAGAGGAGAUCAAGCAGGUCAAGAUCCUCUUUUACUAAUACUUGCCUCUGUCAUUUAUAUCUCAAUGCUGCGCAUAACUUAGAAAUAAAGGAAAUUUACUGCUUUAAAUAAAUUCAAGAUGAAGAAAACAAACAAAAGGACCACAACAAUAAAAUAUCAGCAAAUGAUCAACCAAUAUGUGUCUUGAGACUGUAUAUUCUUACAAAUACUUGAGAUCCUAAUUUGAAUUUUGCUUGGGCCUAGGAAUUUCUUCUGGGAUAGACUUCACCAAAAUAAAUGUAUUAGAAUCCCAUUGUUAACCAAACAGUUUUGAUCAAGAAUAUGCUGCAAAUUUUAUUAUUUCCCAAACACACAUGCCACUAGUCAAUCAUAAGGUUGUUUUAUGAAAUCUGGCAUGUCUGAUGAAUGAUUAAAAUCUUUGGAACAAAAAAAAAAAUAUCUUGCCUAAUACAAAUAAAUGGAAACCUCUGUAUUUUUGUUUGGAUAUGGCAUGUCUCCUAAAGAGUCACACACCAAGGCUUGUGUCCAAUGCUGAAGGUUAAAGGGAGUCUCUUGGGCUACAACUACUCUGAUUUUAUAAUUUCAGUUCUUCACUGUUAGAUUCGUAAGUAAACUGACUCAUGAAAGUGGUUGGGAAGUGUAGUCCCCAGGGUUUAUUUGGAAGUAGUAUUACCAUGACCCUGAGUUGUAUAUUUUUUAUCAAGCAUGUUGGUCUCUAUUUAUCAACUUCCAUGGAGUGCACAUUCUUAAACUAAUUAAAGAACUCUC